AAACCAACAGGGAUUGCCUCAGUAACGGCGAGUGAAGCGGCAAAAGCUCAAAUUUGAAAUCUAGCACUUUCAGUGUUCGAGUUGUAAUUUGAAGAAGGUAACUUUGGUUUUGGCUCUUGUCUAUGUUCCUUGGAACAGGACGUCACAGAGGGUGAGAAUCCCGUGCGAUGAGAUGCCCAAU
This 181-nucleotide ribosomal RNA is filed under the name uncultured Candida. RNAcentral's name for it is "partial 26S ribosomal RNA". It matches the Rfam family "Eukaryotic large subunit ribosomal RNA", at positions 62 to 241 of the family's 3401-position model. The record is from RNAcentral. Lineage: Eukaryota; Fungi; Ascomycota; Saccharomycetes; Saccharomycetales.